CCAACGGAAAGCUCUCUCUGUUGUCGGCUUUUCAACGGCUUAUCAACUGGCCUACCAACAACAAGUAUGGGUAACUUGGGGCUAAGCAUGUGACGGCCGCCAAGAGGGAGCAGCUUUGCUCUCAUCAAACGGAAAGCUCUCUCUGUUGUUGGUUUUCUAAGGCUUAUCAACUGGCAAUCCAACAACAAAUACGGUGUUAAGUAAAUGUGUGAAGUGCUGUGGGUGCUGAAUGAGAACAUCAUGGAACCCGUUCAUGAGGAACGCAUUUCGUGGAAGUACCAUUCGGGACCCUGAUAUUAAUAUCGUCGUUACAGCUGAUACUCUACGAUUCAACAGUGAAAAUAGUGAAUUGUAAUCCAAGAACUGAAAUAAUGGAUAAGAAUAGAGUAAAAAAUUGCUUCUUUGUUCGCUUGUGUGUUUGAACUUCCAUUGUUCGUGGAAAAUAAGCACAUGGCGGCUAUCUUGGAAAAUAUUGGAAAACGUGGGUAAGUGAAUUGGAAAGUUUUGAUUUUCUACUACUAUAUACUAUAUAUGUAUAUAUAAAUGUAACAGUACAGUAAGAAAGCAGCAAGGAAGUAGUAUCUGGCAGUUGUACGAUCUGUUCACUGUACUAUGAACUGAGAUAAAUAAAACGUGAGCUGAACUGAAGCACCUGUUACGAUAAGCCGCAACCUUGAGGCGGAC
Long non-coding RNA from Drosophila ananassae, 684 nucleotides. RefSeq lists it as uncharacterized. NCBI's taxonomy places the organism in Eukaryota, Metazoa, Arthropoda, Insecta, Diptera, Drosophilidae. The record is from RefSeq and is a predicted model, not a curated record. The transcript has 2 exons.